GACGACGCUGGCGGCGUGCCUAAUACAUGCAAGUCGAGCGAGCGGCGGACGGGUGAGUAAUGUCUGGGAAACUGCCUGAUGGAGGGGGAUAACUACUGGAAACGGUAGCUAAUACCGCAUACCAUCAGAUGUGCCCAGAUGGGAUUAGCUAGUAGGUGGGGUAAUGGCUCACCUAGGCGACGAUCCCUAGCUGGUCUGAGAGGAUGACCAGCCACACUGGAACUGAGACACGGUCCAGACUCCUACGGGAGGCAGCAGUGGGGAAUAUUGCACAAUGGGCGCAAGCCUGAUGCAGCCAUGCCGCGUGUGUGAAGAAGGCCUUCGGGUUGUAAAGCACUUUCAGCGAGGAGGCGUUACUCGCAGAAGAAGCACCGGCUAACUCCGUGCCAGCAGCCGCGGUAAUUC
This 405-nucleotide ribosomal RNA is filed under the name uncultured bacterium. RNAcentral's name for it is "partial 16S ribosomal RNA". It matches the Rfam family "Bacterial small subunit ribosomal RNA", at positions 33 to 526 of the family's 1533-position model. The record is from RNAcentral.